RNAcentral lists this small RNA (757 nucleotides) under Pan troglodytes (chimpanzee). Its description in RNAcentral is "retained intron". Lineage: Eukaryota; Metazoa; Chordata; Mammalia; Primates; Hominidae. The record is from RNAcentral.
CUGGACCCUGCCGAGCCCUUCGCAGGCCUCGCUUCCAGCGCCCUCAGUGUCUUUGAGACGGAGCCAGGUGGCGGCGGCAUGCGCUGGUUUGUGGACACAGCUGAGCGUUAUGCGCUGGCUGGCCGGCCACUGGCCGAGCUCUGUGACCACAACGCAAAGGUGGCUCGAGAGCUUGGCCGCAACCAGGUGGCGCAAACGUGGACCAUGCUGCGGAUCAUCUACUGCAGCCCUGGCCUAGUGCCCACUGCAAACCUCAACCACAGUGUGGGCAAGGGUGGCUCCUGUGGCCUCCCGCUCAUGAACAGGUAGAUGCCGGGGGCAGCUCUCCCCAGGGGCUGGGGCUGCUCGAGCCCACCCACCCAUGGGCCCUUCCUGCCCCCAGUUUCAACCUGAAGGAUAUGGCCCCAGGGUUGGGCAGUGAGACGCGGCUGGACCGCAGCAAAGGAGAUGCACGGAGCGACACAGUUCUGCUCGACUCCUCGGCCACACUCAUCACCAAUGAGGAUAACGAGGAAACCGAGGGCAGCGACGUACCUGCCGACUACCUGCUGGGUGACGUGGAAGGUGAGGAGGACGAGCUGUACCUGCUGGAUCCGGAACACGCGCACCCCGAGGACCCUGAGUGCGUGCUGCCGCAGGAGGCCUUUCCGCUGCGCCACGAGAUCGUGGACACGCCUCCCGGGCCCGAGCACCUGCAGGACAAGGCCGACUCCCCGCACGUGAGCGGCAGCGAGGCAGAUGUGGCCUCCCUGGCCCC